Molecule: ribosomal RNA, 495 nt
Filed under: uncultured Sphingobacteriales bacterium
Lineage: Bacteria; Pseudomonadati; Bacteroidota; Sphingobacteriia; Sphingobacteriales
Description: bacterial SSU rRNA
Rfam family: Bacterial small subunit ribosomal RNA
Source: RNAcentral
CCAGCCCGCUCAGAAACUCAAAGGAAUUGACGGGGGCCCGCACAAGCGGUGAGCAUGUGGUUUAAUUCGAUGAUACGCGAGGAACCUUACCUGGGCUCAAAUGUAUGUUGACGUAUUCUGAAAGGGAUACUUCUUCGGACAAUAUACAAGGUGCUGCAUGGUUGUCGUCAGCUCGUGCCGUGAGGUGUCGGGUUAAGUCCCAUAACGAGCGCAACCCCUAUCAUUAGUUGCCAUCAGGUCAAGCUGGGGACCCUAAUGAAACUGCCUACGCAAGUAGUGAGGAAGGUGGGGAUGACGUCAAAUCAGCACGGCCCUUACGUCCAGGGCUACACACGUGCUACAAUGGCCGGUACAAAGGGCAGCUACCUGGUGACAGGAUGCUAAUCUCAAAAGCCGGUCUCAGUUCGGAUCGGAGUCUGCAACCCGACUCCGUGAAGCUGGAAUCGCUAGUAAUCGCGCAUCAGCCAUGGCGCGGUGAAUACGUUCCCGGGCCUU